Non-coding RNA from Oryza sativa Japonica Group (Japanese rice), 2059 nucleotides. The record is from RefSeq and is a predicted model, not a curated record. NCBI's taxonomy places the organism in Eukaryota, Viridiplantae, Streptophyta, Magnoliopsida, Poales, Poaceae.
AAAAGAAUUAACUAAGAAAAAAGUCAAAGUGUCUUAUAAUAUAAAACGGAGAUAUGACUACUGGGGGAAACAUUGUACUAGUAUUUUCAGUAAAAUAAAAAUGAAACAGAGGGAAUAGUUCUUACAAGGGCAUAAUGACUUAAUUAAGCUUAGCUUACAAAACUUAGAACUGAUAUGGCAUAAUGAGAAUUUUCAGUACCUAUUUUGAGAUGAACAAUACACUCAUGUUUUAGCUAAUAGUAGUGGUCAUUGGAUUCUUGUGAUUAUUUUAGUCCAGCCUAAUAGUGGAACAAUUGAAAAGUAAAAGUUAUGCAAAAAAAUGUGCUGUACUCAUCUCAUUGAAUAUGUGUCAUUACAUAUUUCUUGCACCAGACCAGUAGUUCCAUGAGAAGUCCAUCUUAAGAGUAAGCCACAUCAUUGCUUAUGGGCUUUUGGCCCAGAUAAGUCAUACGCGUGUGCUCAGAACAAAAUACAAGAUGAGAGAGUGAUGCCGGUUUUAUCCCACGCGCCUUUCCAUUUUUGCAUGCCACCCAUACAACACAAAUACAACCUUCACAAUUUUCUCAUUGCUUCCCUCUCUCGCAUUACCAAUCAACAAAUCCUCGUGCUUGUUGGUAGCAUCCCCAAAACCCUAGCGGCCGCGCCACUUCGUCCCCCUUGCUUUGUGCCGAACAUGGAGGGCGAACCCUCGUGCCGCCUCUCUUUGUUGGACCGGUGCGGUGAUGGGAGCGAGAAUCCGGUGGUUCCACCGCGAGUCCCCUCCAUCCUCAACCUCGCCUCCCACAAGUGCCUCGACCAAUCGAAAUUCCUACCGUUGAUCCACCCUGCUCCUGCCCACUUCACCUCUUCGACGGUAUCUGCCUUGUCCCCCUGCUCGGAACCACCACUAUCGGCUUCUAUGGUACGAAGUUGGCAGUGGCUUUGCACCCGAAGACUUUUACUUGUUCUUUCCUAAUACUUUUUUCUCAGUGGAAUCCAUCGUUCCACCUCCAUAUGAUGCCAUAGAUGUGCCACCGAUGACCUCUCUUGCACUGCAUUCGACGAGAUCUAACCAGGGGCCGCCUAGCAGGCUACCGCUUAUGGUGGGGCAUAGGCGGUCGCAUAGUUACAUCCUCUUAGGGUAUUCACAUCAAAACCCGCAAAUGCUACCUAUAGCAUCAGUUAAGACAAAGGUCACAACGACCGAGGGGCAUCAAUCGGGGGGCAUGGUGGCUGCUGUCCUUAAGGACAUGGGCAUACAGGCAUGGAGCCCUUCUGGAAGCAGAGAGAAUGAAGCUAAGAGCUCUGGUGCUGGCAGUACAACCCACCAUUGCCACAGCUCGUCGGUUGACAGCUUCAUGAUGGGGAACCUCAAUUUUGGAGCUGUUGGACAGCAGAUGUCCAGCCCCCCUCUGCUAACUAUAGAGGCAAAUGGUGGUGAAGGCGAGUCCAUUGCCAAAUGUGAAAUUCACUGAGGAUGAUAAGAAGAAGGUUGUGGCGGAUAAAUUCCUCUCAGAGAUUGUCUUGACUGAUCCUAGGAGGGUCAAGAGGAUCCUGAACAAUCGAUCAUCUGCCGCAAAGUCAAAGGAGAAAAAGAUGAAGUAUAUAGGGGAGCUUCAACACAAAUUCUAGGUGUUGCAGUUGGAGACUGCUACAUUAUGAGCACAAGUGGCAAUGAUGCAGAGGAACAACAAUGGACUUGUAUCUCUGAACAAUGAGCUAAAAACCAGACUGCAAGCAAUGGAUCAGCAAGCACAGUGGGGAGAUGCUCUGACUGCAAGAUUGACUGCUGAGGCUGAGCACCCAAGAGUUGUUGUUGGUGAGAUCAGUGAUCCUCAUGUGCCAAGUGGUUCACACCAACAACAGAGCUCUUACAUGGACAAACUGCAGCAGCUGCUUACACAGAGGCAACCAUCACAAACCCAACAAAAUCAGCCACAAUAAUAUGUGGAACUUUUAGGGUGAUUUCUCAUUAGAGACUUUUGAAAGGCUUAUUGAUUUUUUUUUUGCUAAAUGUUGAGUAAUACAUGUGUGGAGACUUUCAAUGUACAACUAGAAGAUACCCCGUGCGUUGCUGCAG